RNAcentral lists this transfer RNA (71 nucleotides) under Loxodonta africana (African savanna elephant). It matches the Rfam family "tRNA". Rfam says of the family: Transfer RNA (tRNA) molecules are approximately 80 nucleotides in length. Their secondary structure includes four short double-helical elements and three loops (D, anti-codon, and T loops). Lineage: Eukaryota; Metazoa; Chordata; Mammalia; Proboscidea; Elephantidae. The record is from Rfam by way of RNAcentral.
ACAGUGAUAAUUCAGUGGUUGAAUUCUCGUCUUCCAUAUGGGAGGUCUGGGUUGGAUUUCUAGUCAAUGCA